RNAcentral lists this non-coding RNA (30 nucleotides) under Rattus norvegicus (Norway rat). The record is from RNAcentral. Lineage: Eukaryota; Metazoa; Chordata; Mammalia; Rodentia; Muridae.
UGGCACGAAGGUACUCUUGCACAUGUGCAC